Molecule: small nuclear RNA, 104 nt
Organism: Antechinus flavipes (yellow-footed antechinus)
Lineage: Eukaryota; Metazoa; Chordata; Mammalia; Dasyuromorphia; Dasyuridae
Source: RefSeq, a predicted model, not a curated record
GGGCUAGCAGUAGUACACAUACUAAAAUUACAACAAUAAAGAGAAUGUUAGCAGGCUCCUUGCACAAGAAGGAUCUACAAAUUCACAAAACACUGCACAUAAUA